This is a long non-coding RNA of Thalassophryne amazonica, 182 nucleotides long. RefSeq lists it as uncharacterized. The record is from RefSeq and is a predicted model, not a curated record. The transcript is spliced from 3 exons. Lineage: Eukaryota; Metazoa; Chordata; Actinopteri; Batrachoidiformes; Batrachoididae.
CAGUUUUUGUUAAAUGUAGUGGGUCUUGGCCUCAGCUUUAUAUAAAUUCUGGGUUUGUUAGUGAAGCGUAGGGCUAGUGGCUGGCAAUCACCUUAGUAUUUUCUCUGCUUUGCUGUUGCUUCAUGCUGAUGAAUAAUACCUUAGGUGUAGUUUUUCUGGCCAACUGAUUCUGCUUUUUUUCC